AUUGAACGCUGGCGGCAUGCCUUACACAUGCAAGUCGAACGGCAGCGGGGGAGAAGCUUGCUUUUCCUGCCGGCGAGUGGCGAACGGGUGAGUAAUACAUCGGAACGUGCCCUGUAGUGGGGGAUAACUAGUCGAAAGAUUAGCUAAUACCGCAUACGACCUGAGGGUGAAAGUGGGGGACCGCAAGGCCUCAUGCUAUAGGAGCGGCCGAUGUCUGAUUGGCUAGUUGGUUGGGUGAAGGCCUACCAAGGCGACGAUCAGUAGCUGGUCUGAGAGGACGACCAGCCACACUGGGACUGAGACACAGCCCAGACUCCUACGGGAGGCAGCAGUGGGGAAUUUUGGACAAUGGGCGAAAGCCUGAUCCAGCAAUGCCGCGUGUGUGAGGAAGGCCUUCGGGUUGUAAAGCACUUUUGUCCGGAAAGAAAUGGCUCUAGUUAAUACCUGGGGUCGAUGACGGUACCGGAAGAAUAAGGACCGGCUAACUACGUGCCAGCAGCCGCCGUAA
RNAcentral lists this ribosomal RNA (508 nucleotides) under uncultured bacterium. RNAcentral describes it as "partial 16S ribosomal RNA". It matches the Rfam family "Bacterial small subunit ribosomal RNA", at positions 30 to 523 of the family's 1533-position model. The record is from RNAcentral.